GCCUGAAUGUGGACAUUUCCUGAGUAGAUCCUUGUAACGUUCCCAUGCUUCAUGAAUUGCUUCAUUAGGUUUCUGAGCAAAUGUUAAAAUUUGAGUACUCAUAUC
Pyrus x bretschneideri (Chinese white pear) is the source of this 105-nucleotide small nucleolar RNA. Lineage: Eukaryota; Viridiplantae; Streptophyta; Magnoliopsida; Rosales; Rosaceae. The record is from RefSeq and is a predicted model, not a curated record.